GUAUGUUGUGACAAUGGGCAAAAUAUUCAACUGCUCCAAUGGGCUGAAUGAAAAUAUGAAAAUAA
Molecule: small nucleolar RNA, 65 nt
Organism: Jaculus jaculus (lesser Egyptian jerboa)
Lineage: Eukaryota; Metazoa; Chordata; Mammalia; Rodentia; Dipodidae
Product: small nucleolar RNA Z40
Exons: 1
Source: RefSeq, a predicted model, not a curated record